Monodelphis domestica (gray short-tailed opossum) is the source of this 4057-nucleotide non-coding RNA. Lineage: Eukaryota; Metazoa; Chordata; Mammalia; Didelphimorphia; Didelphidae. The record is from RefSeq and is a predicted model, not a curated record.
CUUCUCUUGUGCGGUGGGGCCCGCGCGGCCCCAACGGGCGCCGCUCAUCCCUCGGCCUCCGGCCCCGGCCCCGGCCCCGGGACCGCCGCCGCCGCCGCCACUCGCCAUAUUGGAACUAGGCGCAGAGAGUAACCCCGCCCCCGGGUCACGUCAGCGCGCGGUCGUGACAUCAGCGCGCAAGGGCCGCCCCGGGGCGGGGCACAGCUGCGGAAUUCGGACGGAUGGGUGAGAGUUUGACUAUAACCCUGUCACCGCCCUCUGAUAUGAGGCUGAUACGAGGCGAUGACUCCGCCCUCUUCUCUUCAGGGAAGGUCCUUCAUCUGGGCAAGUCAUUUUUUUAUUAGCAAUCACUCGAUUAUACAAAUAGCACAGAACCCCAGCCAAAGGAGAAUUAAGGAAGACCUGAAUUCAAAUUCGGUCUCAGAUGUUUACCUGCUGUGUGAACCUCUCCCCAAAUUGCUUGACAUUGUUUUCUCAUCUGUAAAAUGGGGAUAAUUAGUCAACUUACAUCUCAAGAUUGUUGUCAAGGUAAUAUAUGAGAGAAAGGGCAAGCUAGGUGGCACAGUGGAUACAGUGCCAGGUCUGGAGACAGUGGGGGUGGGGAUGUCCUGGGUUCAAAUGUGACUUCAGACAUUUCUGGGCAAAUCACUUUAAACCUAGUUUUUAGCCCUUACUGCUCUUCUGGCUUAGAAUUGAUACUAAGACAGAAGGUAAGGGUUAAAUAUAUAUAUAUAUUUAUAUAAUGAGAUAAUAUAUAAAGCAAGCACUAUACAGUUGCUAGCUAGUCACAGGACUUAAUAUAUACUGGUUAAGAUAAAUUCAAUGAGUUUUCAUUGUCUACUAUGUACUAUCCAGCUUGGCAUAGUGGAGAGUUGCCUUCCAGUUAGGUAGACCUGGAUUCAAGUUAUGCCUCUAAUUUAUACUGUAUGUGACAAGUCACUUAUAAUCUCUCUGUGCCAUUGCUACCAACUCUGCCACCACCCCUGCAAUUCAUGGAUCCCUUUGGUAGUCUGGUGAAGUCAAUGAACCCCUUCUUAAAACAAUGUUUUUAAAUAAUUGCUAAUAAAUAAAUGCUAAAUUAAAAUUAAUGAAAACAGAUAUGAAAUGAAUGAAAAUAAAGAUGCAUUUUGUUUUCUCCAUUCCAGUUCAUAAAAUGAAUUUAGGAACCCCCUGAAAUUAAUCCGGAUAUUUGUGAAAACCCUGCUCUAAGACUCUUGCAAGUAUUCAUCUGCAUUGAAAAUAUAAUUGGAAAGCUUUUGGACAGACAAUAUUCUGAUCAGCAGAAGAAUAUGAACUUCUCUCUAAGCAGAAACAUUAAGAUAUGUUAUAUGUUAAUAAAUUUUCUCUAACUGGAAAUAAUAAUAGGAGGACUGGGGUGUUAUUAGUAUAGGAACUUCCCUGGUGAGAAAAUUCCCUGUACUUUCUCUGCUAGUUAUAGUUUUAGAGCAGUCCUAGAGCAGCAGUUCUUAGAAUGUGGUCCAGACCCCCCAAAGGAUCUCUGAGACACUUUCAGGAAGUCCUCAAGGUCAAAAACUAUUUUUAUAAUAAUAAAUGUUUAAGGUGUUUUAAUUUCUGACACACUAAACAUCAAUAAAUAUAACCCACAAUAACAAAAUUCUUGAAGAGACUCUUUAAAAAUUUAAGAAUAUAAAGAAGUCCUGAGACCAAAGAGUUUGAGAAUCAUUGGCCUAGAGCACUGAAAAGUUGUCAGUCAAUCAGUGAAUAUUUAUUAAGUGCCUAAUAUGUGCCAGGCACUUUGCUAAGUGCUCAACAGAUACUAUUUCAUUUGAUUUUCACAAUAACUCUAUGAGGUAGGCAUUAUUAUGAUACCCAUUUACCAAUAAGAAAACUGAGACCAACCAUGGUUAAGUGAUUUGCCCAAAGAUCACACAACUAAGAUGUAUGUGAGUCAGGAUUUAAAUUCAGAUCUUCCUGAUUUCGGGUCCAGCCCUCUAUUCACUGUGCCACCAGCUGCUUCUUGAGAAAGUAUCAUCAUAUAUGCUAAAACUGAAAGUAACCUCAGAAUGUCAAAACUAGGAUCUCACACUGUAGACUAUAGAAGAGACUAUAUAACUCUAGCCAAGCCAACUCAGAGUUAUAGCAUCUCAGGGAUUGGAAAAGACCUCAGAGGGCUUCUUGGCUAACCUCUGCAUAAAAUUCAUUGUAUAGCAUACCCAUGAAAAGUCAUCUACUCAUUUCUUAAAGACCUCAAGCAAUGGGAAACCCACUUCUCCUUAAAGCUAUUCCUCUUUGAAAGCUCUAUUGGUUAGGAAGCUAUUAUCUUUAUGCAGAACUUGGAGUAGAGAGCCCAGAUCUCUGGUUCUCUGCUCUUAUUCAAAUCAUUAUUGCUGAGCAGAUUCAGAGACUUGAGUGCAAGGGGAAACUUAAAGAGCAGUCAAUCAGCAGGUGGUCUAGACUGUAACACUUUAAUGCCACAAGGGCAUUGUAAUUAGAAAAAUUUGUUAACCUUUCAUACAUGGAUUAGGUGGAGUUUUCUAAAUUGGUUAUGAUCCCCAGCACCUUAUAUUUCUUGCCUAAACAUAGUUGGCCAAACCAGUAUUGAAUACGUAGGAACUUUCCAGCAUCAAACAUGGAGUCACUUCUAUCUGCCUAGCUAGCCUAACAAUAGGCCAAUUCUCAUUUCUUCUAUCAUAAAAAAUUUAUAAGACAUGAAUGAUUCAAGUAAACAUAAAACAUCUUGACUGACUAUUUUACUCAUACUCCCUACAGAAAUAAAACAACUUUGUGGAACUGCUGAGUAGAUAUUUUGCAAUCCUCUUCACAUUCAUCUUAGAGCCACACUAUCCAAGCAAUUCAAAGAUCCUGACCUCCUAGCCUUCUUUCUUUAAUGUUCAGCUGCAGGAUCUACCUAGUAGCAGCCAUUUUCAACUCUUAUAAGUAAUAUUGUGAAAAUUUUCCUUCCACUUGGUGGUCAGGACCUAAUUUAGAGUCUUUUGAACUCUCAAACCUAGGAGGAAAAAUAAAUUUCCCAGGAUCUCUGGUUGUUGGCCUGAAGUCAGGGAAGAAAACAAAGUAGAGGGAGGUGGACAGAUACUAAGGCUUGUCAAGGCAAGCACUCAUUUCCACUCCAUCCAGUUGCUACUGGAUGAUGAAAGGGAAUAGGAAACUCUUCUUAUCCUUGGUAGAAGUUCAAGGGAAAGAAAGUACUGUGUUGGGAGAAUCCCAAAGAGAAGGGGCCAAAAAAGAAAAGAGCCAUUCCCAGAUCUCUUCUUACAGACUAAUAACAAGAGAGUUCUUCCACAAGAAUCUGGUCCUCCUGGCACUCAGUGUGGUAUGGCAUCUUCAACAUAGCCAUUAAUUACAGGGACCAACUAGAAGCUUCUAUGUCAUCUCAAUUUAAUAUGUGUCCAGCUCUAUGUACCUUGAAUUUCAUCAAAUAGAGUAGAGGAUGCUUGAUUUCCCUUGAUCAAACUCCACUUCAAAAAUCUGAAGAGAGAUCCUCUACAAAGAGUCUGGGAGGGAUAGUGUGGGAGACUUGAGAGAAAAGAUUUAGAACGACUGCUCAGGAGAAGUAAAAGUACUACCUGACUGUUUCAAGGGCCUUUUGAGGAUUAGAUGAUAUACAUCAACAAAGGUUUGUGAUUUCCUCUUUCACCAUUUGACAUCAUACAAGUAGGAACAGAGAAGGCAGGUUGUUGGAAUAAUCAAGAGUUAGGGUUUGGCAAGACAUUAAUGUCAAAACAAAAAUGAGAAAUGAUUCAACAGUAAUGUUGAACUGAUUAACUACAGGGCUAAAAUUGGGAAGGAAAAAUAUUGAGGCCAGAGCAAGGGAGAGUACUGGGAUGGUAGAGGGGAUCAGAAGCCAAAGUAGCAAUGAAUAAUAGAUUUAGGAGAAAUGAGGCACAGGGAGAAAAGGAAUGCUGGGAGACUGUGGUAAGAUAAAAGAAUUUCAGAAUUCUUGAUCAUACAAGUGGAAUACUUGUUAAAGCUUAACUUUAACAAGUUAAAUGUUUUAAAAUACUUGUCAAAAUGUUUGUUGAAGCUCCCUAAUAUAGGGCAGGGCCUAGGUGUAUAAUCCUGGAUCUUGGAAGUGGAA